GGGGAGAGUUCACUGCCACUGUUCGUGCAGGUGCCCAGCACCUCUGCCCUCAGGGUGGAGAGGAAAAUGCCCGUGUGCAGCCAGCCUGAGCCCCAGCACUCAGCUCCAGAUUGGAGCCUGCAGCAGCUGCCAUCCAUCAUGCUUGGACUGCGGCCCGUGGGCUGGUGAUGGCCGUCCACUCUCGGGGCCCAGCCCGGCUGGAGACCCAGGGAGAGCAGUGAUU
RNAcentral lists this long non-coding RNA (223 nucleotides) under Homo sapiens (human). Its description in RNAcentral is "HSALNT0279186". The record is from RNAcentral. Lineage: Eukaryota; Metazoa; Chordata; Mammalia; Primates; Hominidae.